Xyrichtys novacula (pearly razorfish) is the source of this 733-nucleotide non-coding RNA. The record is from the annotation of a GenBank genome assembly. Lineage: Eukaryota; Metazoa; Chordata; Actinopteri; Labriformes; Labridae.
CUUCCCAACCCAAACCAUCAGAUUGACAGAGCCACUUUGGGUUGCUGCUUAAUCUACUUUUAAACUUUACUGUUUCCACUCUGAACAAGAUGAAGACAUUCAGCAUUGCAGUUGCCAUCAUGCUCAUCUUUAUUUGUCUUACGAGGAACUGUGCUGUCCCUGUCACUGUAAGAACUCGACUUCAUACCAUUUGUAUUGACAUUUGAGUGUUUGAUCAAAUGCUAAGACAUCUGAGUUAAAAUCCAUCACCAGGUGCAGAAGCUGGACAAGUCAGUGGGCCAUGAAAAUCCAGAGAGGCUCAUUGAAUUAUCAGAGGUAUGAUAUGCUGACUAAACACAUUAAGUGUGAGUGUUUUUGCUGCUUAGUUAUCUCCAGAUAAUCAGAGGAAGAUAUUGAUGCUGGUGUCCAUACUUCUCUCAUGACUCUUGUCUCUCACACUACUUGAUCACAAAAUCCAGAGGCAUAAGCGCGCCCUUUUAGGAUGCACAGUCUUCUGCUGCGAUGAGAUGCCUGAUGGAACUAAAGACUGUAGAAUGUGCUGCCCGUAGAUGGUGCUGCCUGUCCUGAAGAUCUCUGCAUCAGUCAGGGAUUAUAGCAACAGCUUGUUAAUGCCAAUUUGCUUCUCUUUAAUACAAAUGUCAUCAUAGUUACACCAUUACAUAUUAUGUGAAAGCAUGGGUUUUAUUGAUGAAUGUGUCCUUUAAUAAACUAAAAGUUACUUUUGUGCUCUGAA